This is a long non-coding RNA of Scylla paramamosain (green mud crab), 1250 nucleotides long. RefSeq lists it as uncharacterized. The record is from RefSeq and is a predicted model, not a curated record. The transcript is spliced from 2 exons. Lineage: Eukaryota; Metazoa; Arthropoda; Malacostraca; Decapoda; Portunidae.
AACAGAUUGUGGUUUCCAGUGCAAAAACAUACUCAGUUGUUUUCUUGUAUUCAUUUAAAGAACGAUUUUUCCUGCCAUCACGCCAUACACCACAUUCUUUCGGCUCCGGGCAAUUACUUGGUAGACCUUGCCUUGGUAGACCUGCUGUAAUAGUGAGCGGCUGCCAUCAUCAUACGAACAAAAGAAAAUAAAGGAAGAUACAAGAAUCCGUCAGGCCUAAAUGUAUUAGUCCCUGUAUGAAACACAUACAUGUUUCACACCAUGAUGCUCCUGGCUGCAUUCUGUAAGCAGGGCUCCUUUUGACGCUUCUGUGUUGCUCGCUGGGAUCCUGGACACCGCAGACCUGGCCCUGCCCACCACCGCGAGGACAUGCAGCUGGCUUAAUGUUUUGUCACCGAAACGAAUUGUGGAACUUCCUCGUCGUCUCACUUGCAUGAAUAAAAGGAGGAGGAGGAGGAGGAUGGAGAGGAUGAGGAAGAGGAUGGGGGAGGAGGAAUAUAAAGGAAUACAAAGAAAGACAAAACAUCAACAGACACUGAAGUCUUUACGAGGAGGAAGAGGAGGAGGAGUACGAAAAGGAGCACAAGCGGGAUCAGGAAGACGACAAACAAUUCUUAUAAUGACGCAUCCCUUUCCUGUCAUCUUCACAACUGUAAUUUUAGAAGAAUUUAGCAAUUCUAGGCAGCGGCAGCCACGGAACUGUGCGGCUGAUCCAUCGCGAAGGCGAGUGAACUGCCUGGAAGAACCUGCUGCCUUUUUGUCCGCCGUGGCUGCUGCUGCGGGAAGCCCGAGUAUUACCGGAACUUGACGAUGUCGGCGGCGUGCCACGCACUCUGCCUGUCUGCCUGGAUCCGCCGAUAGUCCUCCCGGAGUUUGUCGGGGAUGCGUGCGACAAGUACCUUGCGGACAGCCUGAAAGUUAUGUCUUCCACACCAUCGACGUUGGUGCCGUCUGUCGCGUCUUGGAAGCUUCAAACUGCUAGAUGAAAGACAACGACGAAGACUGGUACUAGUGCAUCCCGCCCGAAGUGUUGCUCCUCCAGCCGGUGUCUCCUGCCGGCGACGUGUGUAGCUUCGGCGCCCUCAUGAAACACGCGAUUCAGAAGUGCUAUAAGGAACUACAGAAGUGUUUAGACUCAGCAAGGAGCCUUGAAGACCUUGGGAUGUGCUGCUUAUUUCACUUGGCCUCAGAUAUAUUUGAUGUAUUGCUAUGCCUGUUUUGAUUUUAUACUCAAUUUAAAUUUCUCAAAA